GACGAACGCUGGCGGCGUGCUUAACACAUGCAAGUCGAACGGAGAGGCCCUGCUUUUGUGGGGUGCUCGUGUGGCGAACGGGUGAGUAAAACGUGAGUAACCUGCCCUUGACUUUGGGAUAACUUCUGGAAAAUGGGGCUAAUACCGGAUAGGAGCUCCUGCUGCAUGGUGGGGGUUGGAAAGUUUCGGCUGUUGUGGAUGGACUCGCGGGUUAUCCGCUUGUUGGUGGGGUAGUGGCUUACCAAGGGUUUGAAGGGUAGCCGGCCUGGGAGGGUGACCGGCGACAAUGCGACUGAGAGACGCCGCAGACGCCUAUGGGAGGCAGUAGGGGGGAGCAUGGCACAGUGGGCGCAAGCGUGAGAUAGCAACGUCGCGUUCGUGAUGACGUGUUUCUAGUUGUAAACCGCUGUCGCCGGUGACGAAGCGUGAGUGACGGUAAUGGGUAAAGAAGCACCGGCUAACUACGUG
This 468-nucleotide ribosomal RNA is filed under the name uncultured bacterium. RNAcentral's name for it is "partial 16S ribosomal RNA". It matches the Rfam family "Bacterial small subunit ribosomal RNA", at positions 28 to 507 of the family's 1533-position model. The record is from RNAcentral.